RNAcentral lists this long non-coding RNA (260 nucleotides) under Physcomitrium patens. Its description in RNAcentral is "long non-coding RNA (PPAT_LNC011742)". Lineage: Eukaryota; Viridiplantae; Streptophyta; Bryopsida; Funariales; Funariaceae. The record is from RNAcentral.
UUUUUUUUUUUUAUAGGAUUUUGAGAAGACUAAGGCAAUCGUUGCUGAAGUCGAAGUGUUGUAAUGGUGAAUCGGGAUUUUUAAUGAAAAAAGUUUGAUUACUCUUGACUGUUUUGUGAAAUCGAAAUUACGUCUGUGAUUGAAGAAUUAAAAGGGUGUCUGUAGGAUUGAGUAUGCGGAGUGAAUGAAAUUUAUUGGGUUAAUCUAACGAGACAGUCAAUGGAUACAAGAUCGUGAGUAUAAAGCGGUAUUGAAGAUUA